RNAcentral lists this unclassified non-coding RNA (343 nucleotides) under soil metagenome. Its description in RNAcentral is "partial contains 5.8S ribosomal RNA, internal transcribed spacer 2, and large subunit ribosomal RNA". The stretch from base 1 to 120 matches the Rfam family "5.8S ribosomal RNA", at positions 35 to 154 of the family's 154-position model. The record is from RNAcentral.
GAUGAAGAACGCAGCGAAAUGCGAUAAGUAAUGUGAAUUGCAGAAUUCAGUGAAUCAUCGAAUCUUUGAACGCACAUUGCGCCCGCUAGUAUUCUGGCGGGCAUGCCUGUCCGAGCGUCAUUUCAACCCUCAAGCCCCCGGGCUUGGUGUUGGGGAUCGGCGAGCCUCCGCGCCCGCCGUCCCCUAAAUCUAGUGGCGGUCUCGCUGUAGCUUCCUCUGCGUAGUAGCACACCUCGCACUGGGAAUCAGCGCGGCCACGCCGUUAAACCCCCAACUUCUGAACGUUUGACCUCGGAUCAGGUAGGAAUACCCGCUGAACUUAAGCAUAUCAAUAAGCGGAGGA